This 304-nucleotide non-coding RNA is filed under the name Paenibacillus sp. RNAcentral describes it as "T-box sequence". It matches the Rfam family "T-box leader". From Rfam's summary of the family: Uncharged tRNA acts as the effector for transcription antitermination of genes in the T-box leader family. T-boxes are found upstream of many aminoacyl-tRNA synthetase genes and some amino acid biosynthetic genes usually in Gram-positive bacteria. Lineage: Bacteria; Bacillati; Bacillota; Bacilli; Caryophanales; Paenibacillaceae. The record is from RNAcentral.
UAAACUUCGUUGAUGAGAACGAGUACGUUCUAGGUUCAUUCCUCAGAGAGCCGGCGGCAGCUGAAAGCCCGGUGAGUGAGCCAUUGCGGAAUAUCCUCUCUGAGAAGCGGCGCCGAACCUGCGAGAGCGGCAAUAAGUGCUGACGGCUGUCCCCCGUUACAGGGAACGCGAACGAUCGUUCGCGACUAAGGUGCCGCAUGAAGCGCAGUUCAAUCGAGCUGAUGGCUUUCAUCCACAUGUUUCUGGAUGGUUUAGAAGCAUAUGCGGAACAAGGGUGGUAACGCGACUAAGCCUCGUCCCUUCU